CAACCCUCAAGCACUGCUUGGUGUUGGGGCCCUGCGGCAACGCAGGCCCUUAAAACUAGUGGCGGGCUCGCUGUGACUCCGAGCGUAGUAGUUCUCUCUCGCUUAGGAGGCCUUGGCGGGCUCUAGCCGUUAAACCCCCAUCUUAUAGAA
RNAcentral lists this unclassified non-coding RNA (150 nucleotides) under uncultured Sordariomycetes. Its description in RNAcentral is "sequence contains ITS2". The record is from RNAcentral. Lineage: Eukaryota; Fungi; Ascomycota; Sordariomycetes.